GACGAACGCUGGCGGCGUGCUUAACACAUGCAAGUCGAACGGAAAGGCCUGCAGCUUGCUGCGGGUACUCCAGUGGCGAACGGGUGAGUAACACGUGGGUGAUCUGCCUUGCACUUCGGGAUAAGCUUGGGAAACUGGGUCUAAUACCGGAUAGGACAGCUGUUUAGUGUCAGUUGUGGAAAGUUUUUUCGGUGCAAGAUGAGCUCGCGGCCUAUCAGCUUGUUGGUGGGGUAAUGGCCUACCAAGGCGUCGACGGGUAGCCGGCCUGAGAGGGUGUACGGCCACAUUGGGACUGAGAUACGGCCCAGACUCCUACGGGAGGCAGCAGUGGGGAAUAUUGCACAAUGGGCGGAAGCCUGAUGCAGCGACGCCGCGUGGGGGAUGAAGGCCUUCGGGUUGUAAACUCCUUUCGACAGGGACGAAGCUUUUGUGACGGUACCUGUAGAAGAAGCACCGGCUAACUACGUG
RNAcentral lists this ribosomal RNA (468 nucleotides) under uncultured bacterium. Its description in RNAcentral is "partial 16S ribosomal RNA". It matches the Rfam family "Bacterial small subunit ribosomal RNA", at positions 28 to 507 of the family's 1533-position model. The record is from RNAcentral.